UCCCUCUCUACGUUGGUCUUGCUGCGGCUUC
RNAcentral lists this non-coding RNA (31 nucleotides) under Homo sapiens (human). Lineage: Eukaryota; Metazoa; Chordata; Mammalia; Primates; Hominidae. The record is from RNAcentral.